This 467-nucleotide ribosomal RNA is filed under the name uncultured bacterium. RNAcentral describes it as "partial 16S ribosomal RNA". It matches the Rfam family "Bacterial small subunit ribosomal RNA", at positions 28 to 506 of the family's 1533-position model. The record is from RNAcentral.
GACGAACGCUGGCGGCGUGCUUAACACAUGCAAGUCGAACGGAAAGGCCCUGCUUUUGUGGGGUGCUCGAGUGGCGAACGGGUGAGUAACACGUGAGUAACCUGCCCUUGACUUUGGGAUAACUUCAGGAAACUGGGGCUAAUACCGGAUAGGAGCUCCUGCUGCAUGGUGGGGGUUGGAAAGUUUCGGCGGUUGGGGAUGGACUCGCGGCUUAUCAGCUUGUUGGUGGGGUAGUUGCUUACCAAGGCUUUGACGGGUAGCCGGCCUGAGAGGGUGACCGGCCACAUUGGGACUGAGAUACGGCCCAGACUCCUACGGGAGGCAGCAGUGGGGAAUAUUGCACAAUGGGCGGAAGCCUGAUGCAGCAACGCCGCGUGCGGGAUGACGGCCUUCGGGUUGUAAACCGCUUUCGCCUGUGACGAAGCGUGAGUGACGGUAAUGGGUAAAGAAGCACCGGCUAACUACGU